CGAACGCUGGCGGCGUGCUUAACACAUGCAAGUCGAGCGGUAAGGCCCUUUCGGGGGUACACGAGCGGCGAACGGGUGAGUAACACGUGGGUGACCUGCCCUCAGCUCUGGGAUAAGCCUGGGAAACCGGGUCUAAUACUGGAUAUGACUCCAUGACGCAUGUUGUGGGGUGGAAAGCCUUGUGCGGCUGAGGAUGGGCCCGCGGCCUAUCAGCUUGUUGGUGGGGUGAUGGCCUACCAAGGCGACGACGGGUAGCCGGCCUGAGAGGGCGACCGGCCACACUGGGACUGAGACACGGCCCAGACUCCUACGGGAGGCAGCAGUGGGGAAUCUUGCGCAAUGGGCGAAAGCCUGACGCAGCGACGCCGCGUGA
Molecule: ribosomal RNA, 373 nt
Filed under: uncultured bacterium
Lineage: Bacteria
Description: bacterial SSU rRNA
Rfam family: Bacterial small subunit ribosomal RNA
Source: RNAcentral